Molecule: ribosomal RNA, 748 nt
Filed under: Tolypothrix tenuis Ind16
Lineage: Bacteria; Bacillati; Cyanobacteriota; Cyanophyceae; Nostocales; Tolypothrichaceae
Description: bacterial SSU rRNA
Rfam family: Bacterial small subunit ribosomal RNA
Source: RNAcentral
GCAAGAUUCGUCGACACAGAGUUUGAUCCUGGCUCAGGCGAGUUCGUCAACAACAGAUUUUGAUCCUGGGAAGCCGCAUUGAGAGAUAGCUUGGGUCGGGGACCCCUAGAGGAAACGGUGGCUAAUACCGGAUGUGCCGAAAGGUGAAAGAUUUAUUGCCUGAAGAUGAGCUCGCGUCUGUUUAGCUAGUAGGUGUGGUAAGAGCGCACCUAGGCGACGAUCAGUAGCUGGUCUGAAAGGAUGAUCAGCCACACUGGGACUGAGACACGGCCCAAACUCCUACGGGAGGCAGCAGUGGGGAAUUUUCCGCAAUGGGCGAAAGCCUGACGGAGCAAUACCGCGUGAGGGAGGAAGGCUCUUGGGUUGUAAACCUCUUUUCUCAGGGAAGAAAAAAAUGACGGUACCUGAGGAAUAAGCUUCGGCUAACUCCGUGCCAGCACCCGCGGUAAUACGGAGGAUGCAAGCGUUAUCCGGAAUGAUUGGGCGUAAAGCGUCCGCAGGUGGCUAUGUAAGUCUGCUGUUAAAGAGUGAGGCUCAACCUCAUAAGAGCAGUGGAAACUACAUAGCUAGAGUGCGUUCGGGGCAGAGGGAAUUCCUGGUGUAGCGGUGAAAUGCGUAGAGAUCAGGAAAAACACCGGUGGCAAAAGCGCUCUGCUAGGCCGCAACUGACACUGAGGGACGAAAGCUAGGGGAGCGAAAUGGGAUUAGAUACCCCAUUAAUCCUAGCCGUAAACGAUGGAUACUAGGC